GCACUGUUGAAGAGUUUCAAAUUUGGACGAAACGGCCGUCCAGUAC
Schistosoma margrebowiei is the source of this 46-nucleotide non-coding RNA. NCBI's taxonomy places the organism in Eukaryota, Metazoa, Platyhelminthes, Trematoda, Strigeidida, Schistosomatidae. The record is from Rfam.